Molecule: unclassified non-coding RNA, 351 nt
Filed under: soil metagenome
Description: partial contains 5.8S ribosomal RNA, internal transcribed spacer 2, and large subunit ribosomal RNA
Rfam family: 5.8S ribosomal RNA (bases 4-119)
Source: RNAcentral
GAUAAGAACGUAGCGAAAUGCGAUAAGUAAUGUGAAUUGCAGAAUUCAGUGAAUCAUCGAAUCUUUGAACGCACAUUGCGCCCGCCAGUAUUCUGGCGGGCAUGCCUGUUCGAGCGUCAUUACAACCCUCAGGCCCCCGGGCCUGGCGUUGGGGAUCGGCGGAGCCCCCCGUGGGCACACGCCGUCCCCCAAAUACAGUGGCGGUCCCGCCGCAGCUUCCAUCGCGUAGUAGCUAACACCUCGCGACUGGAGAGCGGCGCGGCCACGCCGUAAAACACCCAACUCUUCUGAAGUUGACCUCGAAUCAGGUAGGAAUACCCGCUGAACUUAAGCAUAUCAAUAAGCGGAGGA